This 74-nucleotide transfer RNA is filed under the name Methanobacteriota archaeon. RNAcentral describes it as "Euryarchaeota archaeon tRNA-Cys". It matches the Rfam family "tRNA". Rfam says of the family: Transfer RNA (tRNA) molecules are approximately 80 nucleotides in length. Their secondary structure includes four short double-helical elements and three loops (D, anti-codon, and T loops). Further hydrogen bonds mediate the characteristic L-shaped molecular structure. tRNAs have two regions of fundamental functional importance: the anti-codon, which is responsible for specific mRNA codon recognition, and the 3' end, to which the tRNAs corresponding amino acid is attached (by aminoacyl-tRNA synthetases). tRNAs cope with the degeneracy of the genetic code in two manners: having more than one tRNA (with a specific anti-codon) for a particular amino acid; and 'wobble' base-pairing, i.e. permitting non-standard base-pairing at the 3rd anti-codon position. RNAcentral also lists the same sequence under 2 other names. Lineage: Archaea; Methanobacteriati; Methanobacteriota. The record is from RNAcentral.
GCACGAGUGGCAGAGUAGCUAUGCAACGGAUUGCAGAUCCGUGAACCCGGGUGCAAAUCCCGGCUUGUGCUCCA